This 795-nucleotide ribosomal RNA is filed under the name Zobellia laminariae. RNAcentral's name for it is "bacterial SSU rRNA". It matches the Rfam family "Bacterial small subunit ribosomal RNA", at positions 155 to 949 of the family's 1533-position model. Lineage: Bacteria; Pseudomonadati; Bacteroidota; Flavobacteriia; Flavobacteriales; Flavobacteriaceae. The record is from RNAcentral.
AAUUUGGAUUAAGACCACAUGGUACUAUAUUACGGCAUCGUAUUUAUAGUUAAAGGUUACGGUAGGGGAUGAGUAUGCGUCCCAUUAGUUAGUUGGCGAGGUAACGGCUCACCAAGACCGCGAUGGGUAGGGGCCCUGAGAGGGGGAUCCCCCACACUGGUACUGAGACACGGACCAGACUCCUACGGGAGGCAGCAGUGAGGAAUAUUGGACAAUGGACGAGAGUCUGAUCCAGCCAUGCCGCGUGCAGGAAGAAUGCCCUAUGGGUAGUAAACUGCUUUUAUACGGGAAGAAAAAGGGGCACGUGUGCCCCACUGACGGUACCGUAAGAAUAAGGACCGGCUAACUCCGUGCCAGCAGCCGCGGUAAUACGGAGGGUCCGAGCGUUAUCCGGAAUUAUUGGGUUUAAAGGGUCCGUAGGCGGGCCGAUAAGUCAGUGGUGAAAGUUUGCAGCUCAACUGUAAAAUUGCCUUUGAUACUGUCGGUCUUGAGUUAUAGUGAAGUUGCCGGAAUAUGUAGUGUAGCGGUGAAAUGCAUAGAUAUUACAUAGAACACCGAUUGCGAAGGCAGGUGACUAACUAUAUACUGACGCUGAUGGACGAAAGCGUGGGGAGCGAACAGGAUUAGAUACCCUGGUAGUCCACGCCGUAAACGAUGGAUACUAGCUGUCCGGGUCCUUGAGACCUGGGCGGCCAAGCGAAAGUGAUAAGUAUCCCACCUGGGGAGUACGUUCGCAAGAAUGAAACUCAAAGGAAUUGACGGGGGCCCGCACAAGCGGUGGAGCAUGUGGUUUAA